This is a long non-coding RNA of Anolis sagrei ordinatus, 400 nucleotides long. RefSeq lists it as uncharacterized. NCBI's taxonomy places the organism in Eukaryota, Metazoa, Chordata, Lepidosauria, Squamata, Anolidae. The record is from RefSeq and is a predicted model, not a curated record.
AAAGGCCAACUCACUAGCAUUGCAUAUGGGUCCAUACCCAAAUGUUGUACUAGUCAAGGAAAGAUCGAAAAGGUAAAAAAAUGCAAAGGAAAGAUCAAAACCUGAAAGGCAAAAACAGUAAAAAAAAAAAAGAAGAAGGUGAGAAAUUAUAGAUGAAAAGAAGCAUAUGGAGGAAUAAAAACAAGCUGAAGGGGCGUCCAUAUGAAGACAAAGGGAUGGAAAGAGAUAAGAGAAAUAUUUCUACCUAUGCUUUUGGUUACAACCAGGAACUGUCAGCUUUAUAUUCUUCAUCAUUCUUCUUCUUCAGCUUUAUAUAAAGCAAGCAAUGAAUUUGGCAAGAGGAAAAGGCCAUUCGAUUGAUGACAUUGGUUGAAGAAAAAGUAGAUUUGGUCUCUGGAAG